Molecule: ribosomal RNA, 494 nt
Filed under: uncultured bacterium
Lineage: Bacteria
Description: partial 16S ribosomal RNA
Rfam family: Bacterial small subunit ribosomal RNA
Source: RNAcentral
GACGAACGCUGGCGGCGUGCUUAACACAUGCAAGUCGAACGGUGAAGCGCCUUCCUUUUUGGUGGGUGUGGAUGAGUGGCGAACGGGUGAGUAACACGUGAGUCACCUGCCACCUUCUUCUGGAUAACCGCAUGAAAGUGUGGCUAAUACGGGAUAUUCUGGGUCUGUCGCAUGAAGGGUCUGGGAAAGAUAUUGUGUCGGUGGGGGAUGGGCUCGCGGCCUAUCAGCUUGUUGGUGGGGUGAUGGCCUACCAAGGCGGCGACGAGUAGCCGGCCUGAGAGGGUGGACGGCCACACUGGGACGGCGACACGCCGCAGACUCCGACGGGCAGCAGCAGUGGAUAUUACGGCACAAGGGGCGCAAUCCUGAUGCAGCGACGCCGCGGGAGGGAUGGAGUCCUGCGGGUUGUGAACCGCUUUCGCCAGUGAAGCAGGCCUGCCUCGUUUGUGGGUGGGUUGACGGUAGCUGGAUAAGAAGCGCCGGCUAACUACGUG